This 337-nucleotide unclassified non-coding RNA is filed under the name uncultured fungus. Its description in RNAcentral is "partial contains 5.8S ribosomal RNA and internal transcribed spacer 2". The stretch from base 1 to 133 matches the Rfam family "5.8S ribosomal RNA", at positions 22 to 154 of the family's 154-position model. The record is from RNAcentral. Lineage: Eukaryota; Fungi.
UGGCUCCGGCCUCGAUGAAGAACGCAGCGAAAUGCGAUAAGUAAUGUGAAUUGCAGAAUCCAGUGAAUCAUCGAAUCUUUGAACGCACAUUGCGCCCCUCGGCACUCCGAGGGGCAUGCCCGUCCGAGCGUCAUUGCACCUGUCAAGCUCCGCGCUUGGUGUUGGGCCGCGUCCUCCCUCCCCGGAGGCCGGGCGGGUCUCAAAAGCAGUGGCGUCCCUCUGCGACUCGUCGGCGCGAUGGCAUCCCCGUACGCCAGGCCGAGUCGUCCAGGAACCACGCCAGGCAACCCCUGCAUCUGUAACGGUUGACCUCGGAUCGGGUAGGGAUACCCGCUGA